This 69-nucleotide transfer RNA is filed under the name Hyla tsinlingensis (Tsinling tree toad). Its description in RNAcentral is "tRNA-Val". It matches the Rfam family "tRNA". Rfam says of the family: Transfer RNA (tRNA) molecules are approximately 80 nucleotides in length. Their secondary structure includes four short double-helical elements and three loops (D, anti-codon, and T loops). The record is from RNAcentral. Lineage: Eukaryota; Metazoa; Chordata; Amphibia; Anura; Hylidae. RNAcentral also lists the same sequence under 2 other names.
CAAAAUAUAGCUUAAACAAAGCAUCUCGCUUACACCGAGAAUAUAUCUGUUAAACUCAGAUUAUUUUGA